Non-coding RNA from Cricetulus griseus (Chinese hamster), 2710 nucleotides. The record is from RefSeq and is a predicted model, not a curated record. Lineage: Eukaryota; Metazoa; Chordata; Mammalia; Rodentia; Cricetidae.
CAGAGAGGGACAGGAAGUGAGGAGGUGGGACUUCCACUCUGCAACAGCCUGCCACCUUCCAGGUUGUUUUGCCGUUUUACAUGUUAUUCCAAGCAAAGGGACUAAACAACCCUCAUUCAAACCAUUCUGACUGACUUUAAAUGCCUCAGGAGAUGGCCACAGGCAGGCUGUAGAAACUGGAACCACUCUCUUCAUCUUCAGAAGGAAGAUGGGGCCUCAAAAUGUUUCCACCUGUUUCAUAAUGAUGCCAUCAAGCAGAUAAACACCAGUCAAGGAUCAGCUUUGGACUACCAACUACUCAAGACAAUUCCAAAUUAGGAUCCUAUAGAGAAACUGUCACUCCCAAGACAGCUGGAAGUAAUUCUAAGAAAACAAUCACCCCUCUCCCAACAGUUGAGUUGAAUGGAUUUUGUUUUUUUUCUCUCAAGGUUAUGGAUAAUUGUCACCUGUUAAGUUAUAAAUUGUAAUGGAUUGGGGUGGGAUAUGAAGUUCUUAGACUCAGGAAUCUCUUUUGGAAAAGAAAAAGGGAAUGGAUGGGAUGGGAUAAUAGGUAGAUUAGUGUAUCUACUUGUGAACUAUUUUAGCAACUAUUAGUUAUAAUUUACAUUUAUAUAGAUCUUUAUAUUUUGAUACAUAUGUAAAAUUAUUUUGUAUUCCUUUCUAAGGUAAUUUGUUUAUUGAUACAGAUUCAAAAUUACAUUUGUUAUAUUAUGUACAUUCCUAUUUCUGCUUACAAUAUUUUGUAUACAAAUGUAAGAUUAUUUUGUCAUACUGUAUAUAUGGAUAUUUCUACCUCUGCUUAAGAUAUUUUGUAUAUUGAUACAAAUUAAGGAUAUUUUUGUCAUAUGCUGUACGUUCAUUUAAAGAUUGCUUAUUUUUCUAUGAGAAGCUUUAGUCAGUAAGCUAUAUAUGAAUUUCAGGUAAUGGUCACCCAUGCUUGUCAUACCUAGCUAUGUAGUUAGGCUCUCUAGAUGCACAGGUAUGUACUCAUCAUAGAUACUUGAUCUUCAAACACUUCAAAGACCUACAGAAUAUGACAUUUAAAUGUUUUAAUAAUUUAUAAUCCUUUUGAUAUCAGACACAACUGCUCCUAGCAGCACUGAGCUAUUCCCGAGAAAACAAUGGGCACUGGAGAUAUUUCAUUUGGAGCUUGUUUUCUUCUUAGCAAAACUGGCCUGUUAGGCAAAGAACUGCACUUGCUUCAACUGCUGACAGCAAGUACAUUGUCCAAACUGACAAGCAGGUUACAAAAAAAAAAAGUGGCUGCUGAUGCUUGCCAAGACAAGGUAGGACAGCCUUUCAAAUUUUCCUGUUUCUGAAAUUGGUCUGUCAGAUAUUCUAGGCCUACAGCCAAAGUUGAUUGCCCCAAUAUUAUUAUGAGACUUUGGGUGACUGUCCAGGUAGCCAGAUAUUUCCAUCAUUUCUUGCACCUUUUGGAAGUUGCUUGCUUGCACUUCCUGCUUACUCAGGUAAUAUUAUGUUUCCUUCUUAGAUCUUUGAUGGGGUUGAAGACUAGAUAGUCACAGGUACUAUGCUCUCAUAUCUUAGCUAAGACAUUUUAGAUACAAGACUUAGACUCCUCAGCAUAGAGUAGCUGUGGGAAUAAUCUCUAUAUUUUGCCUAUCACCUAUAGCCUGAAUAUUUAGUGUGUAUUUCUUGCUUGAUGUUGUUCUUGGUUAUACUUCUAAUUUUAUGUAUGAUUUACCUUUUCUUUUUCCUGGAUGGUACUUGAUAUCUGUUCUCAUUAUACAUAGUUUUGUAUUAGGUUUAGAACUCUCUUAUUAAGACAAAAAGGGGGAUUGUUGUGGGAAUUCAUUCAGCCAGUAGCUUUUGAGGUACUAUGUGUGACUGACAAAUGCAGAGAGGUGGCAUGCUCUCUUUCUAGGGUGGUGGUCAGAGAUCAGAUUGCAGGUUCCAGCACCCCUGGGCAGAAGGCCACAGUGGUUCUCUACUUCAUUUAUAAUUCAUGAGUGACUCCCCAAUAAAUGUCUGUUAUCCCUUUAAUUCAGGCUCUCAUGGACUCACUUACAAUUGCCUUUUAUACUACUCUCUCUGAACUUCUAAAGAGGACAUGGAUAAGUAGAAGAAUCUAUGUGUUUAGCUUGCAGGCAAAAAUAACAUAUCACAGACACACUCACACACACACUUACACACACAUACACACACAUACACACACACACACACACACACACACUUACAUGUAAGCAUGUUCAAGUUGCUUUCUGAGAGACAAAUUAUAAAUCAACACAGUAGCUCCUAGUUUCCCAAGAUAUAAUGAUUGAAAACACUUAUUCUGUUUUGUUUGUUUUUGUGGGAAAACUAAGCAUCAAUGGGCCUGACACCUGGCCUAGACUGAUAGUAAGAGCAUGCACAGUAGAUAUCUCUUGACAGCCAGCCUAGAUCUGCCAGAGGGCCUUGACAACAGCAGAUGAGAAAUUAUGUUGACCUAUUCUAUCAAUAGCGACUAUAUCACCUCAGCAGAUGCCAACUAAAUGGAUCCCCUCUGGGUCAGGGUUGAGGGAUAUAUGAGGUUUACCCCUUCCUGGAAUAAACUGAGGUUGUUGUUUCAAUUUGUUGCCUGUGUUUCUGGUGUUACGCCUACCUUCCCCCAUUCCCAAGGGACACCCGUCAGGAUCCUGCAACAUGAUUUAUUUAAGUCUUCUUUUCUAAAGAGAGAGAGAAAGAAAGCAUGGUGUUAAGUGGGUAGGGA